UCAACCAAACCACAGGAGGCUGGGGAAUACGUGAGAGCAAGCACAUGGCUAUGUGAUGACUAGGGAACAUCUCAGCCACAGUAACCUUUCUCAGGUUUUUUUAGUUUCCUUAUAUUAUUGUUUCCUAAGGAAUUUUUCAAGCAGGGUUUACUGGGUGAACAAAAAGGUUUCACCUUUCACCAAUCAAAGAGGAACACGAAACUCUCAAGCAGGCCUCCCUGUUGAUGAACUGGGCUGAAUGGUGAUGCAAAGAUGAUUCGCGGCUUUUCAGCUAUGAAAAUCUGGGGGCUGGGAAGUCCAAGAUCAACAUGACAGCAGAUUUGGUGUUUGGUGAACAAUCACUUCCUCACAGAUGGCCAUCUUCUCAUUGUAGCCUCACGUGACAGAAAGGUCCCUUCAAGGUAAAUCAAGAAUCUUUCGGCCCAGCACAGUGGCUCCCACCUGUAAUCCCAGCACUUUUGGAGGUUUAUGUGAAGUCUUUCUACUUUUUUCAUGUGGGUAUUCAUUUCUAUAAACUUUCCUUUUAGAACUGCUUUCCGCUGUAUCCUAUAUGUUUGGGUAUGCUGUAUUUCAAUUUUCAUUUUUCUCAACAAGUUUCUAAUUUCUUCGUUAAUCUAAUUAUUGUUCAGGAACACAUUAUUUCAUUUAAUUUCUAUGGAUUUGUACAGCUUCCAAUGUUCCUUCUGUUACUGGUCUCCAAUUUUAUUUUGUGGUGGUCAGAAAAGAUGUUUGAUACGAUUUUAAUUUUUAAAAAAAUGUGUUAAGACUUAUUUUGUGACCUAACAUAUAGUUUAU
Molecule: non-coding RNA, 795 nt
Organism: Chlorocebus sabaeus (green monkey)
Lineage: Eukaryota; Metazoa; Chordata; Mammalia; Primates; Cercopithecidae
Source: RefSeq, a predicted model, not a curated record